This 503-nucleotide ribosomal RNA is filed under the name uncultured bacterium. RNAcentral describes it as "partial 16S ribosomal RNA". It matches the Rfam family "Bacterial small subunit ribosomal RNA", at positions 30 to 523 of the family's 1533-position model. The record is from RNAcentral.
AUUGAACGCUGGCGGCAGGCUUAACACAUGCAAGUCGAGCGGGGUGAUGGUGCUUGCACUAUCACUUAGCGGCGGACGGGUGAGUAAUGCUUAGGAAUCUGCCUACUAGUGGGGGACAACAUCUCGAAAGGGAUGCUAAUACCGCAUACGUCCUACGGGAGAAAGCAGGGGAUCACUUGUGGCCUUGCGCUAAUAGAUGAGCCUAAGUCGGAUUAGCUAGUUGGUGGGGUAAAGGCCUACCAAGGCGACGAUCUGUAGCGGGUCUGAGAGGAUGAAACGCCCCACUGGGACUGAGACGCGGCCCAGACGCCUACGGGAGGCAGUAGGGAGGAAUAUUGGACAGUGGGGGGAACCCUGAACCAGCCAUGCCGCGUGUGGGAAGAAGGCUUUAUGGUUGUAAAGCACUUUAAGCGAGGAGGAGGCUCUUUUGGUUAAUACCCAAGAUGAGUGGACGUUACUCGCAGAAUAAGCACCGGCUAACUCUGUGCCAGCAGCCGCCGUAA